GAUGAACGCUAGCUACAGGCUUAACACAUGCAAGUCGAGGGGUAGCAGGGUAGCAAUGCCGCUGACGACCGGCGCACGGGUGAGUAACACGUAUCCAACCUUCCCAUAACUCGGGGAUAGCCUUUCGAAAGAAAGAUUAAUACCCGAUAGUACUUUUUCAAGGCAUCUUGAGAAAGUUAAAGAUUUAUUGGUUAUGGAUGGGGAUGCGUUCCAUUAGAUAGUUGGUGAGGUAACGGCUCACCAAGUCUUCGAUGGAUAGGGGUUCUGAGAGGAAGGUCCCCCACAUGGGUACUGAGACACGGACCAAACUCCUACGGGAGGCAGCAGUGAGGAAUAUUGGUCAAUGGGCGAGAGCCUGAACCAGCCAAGUAGCGUGAAGGAUGAAGGUCCUAUGGAUUGUAAACUUCUUUUAUAGUAGAAUAAAGUGAUCCACGUGUGGAUUUUUGUAUGUAUACUAUGAAUAAGGAUCGGCUAACUCCGUGCCAGCCGCCGCUGUAA
This 498-nucleotide ribosomal RNA is filed under the name uncultured bacterium. RNAcentral's name for it is "partial 16S ribosomal RNA". It matches the Rfam family "Bacterial small subunit ribosomal RNA", at positions 28 to 523 of the family's 1533-position model. The record is from RNAcentral.